GAUGAAGAACGUAGCAAAAUGCGAUAAGUAAUGUGAAUUGCAGAAUUCAGUGAAUCAUCGAGUUUUUGAACGCAUAUUGCGCCCUCUGGUAUUCCGGGGGGCAUGCCUGUUCGAGCGUCAUUAAAUAACCCUCAAGCAUAGCUUGGUGUUGGGCUUUUUUACGUCCUUGACUGGGAUGGGCCUAAAAAUUAGUGGCGAUGGCUUUUUUACUUUCAAGCGUAGUAAAUCUCGUCUUGCUAAAGAGGAAAAAGAUUUUUUUUCUGCCAAAAAUUUUAACAUUUAAAGUUGACCUCGGAUCAGGUAGGAUUACCCGCUGAACUUAAGCAUAUCAAUAAGCGGAGGA
This 343-nucleotide unclassified non-coding RNA is filed under the name soil metagenome. RNAcentral describes it as "partial contains 5.8S ribosomal RNA, internal transcribed spacer 2, and large subunit ribosomal RNA". The stretch from base 1 to 120 matches the Rfam family "5.8S ribosomal RNA", at positions 35 to 154 of the family's 154-position model. The record is from RNAcentral.